RNAcentral lists this long non-coding RNA (15364 nucleotides) under Hordeum vulgare. RNAcentral's name for it is "long non-coding RNA (HVUL_LNC013479)". Lineage: Eukaryota; Viridiplantae; Streptophyta; Magnoliopsida; Poales; Poaceae. The record is from RNAcentral.
UGCAAAAGACGGUUGUCCACCGUCGCCGAUGCUGCAAACGCCGGCCUCUGCUCCUACAAUUGCUACUGCUACAAGCCGGGCGCUGAGAAGGAAGCUGCUGAACUAGUCGCGGAGGAGAAAGGUUUGCUGUACCACGCCCAAAAUAAGGUGAGUUGCAAUCUCUCUCUCUCUCUCCCAUCAAUCUCUCUUCUCUAUACGCGGAUGGAGCGGAUUCACAAGAUAUGUUGGCCAGCAGACAAGAUAUGAACCCAUUUUUCAGUUUUCUUGCACAUCCAGAUCCAUCUCCAUCUCUGUAUCUUACAGAACAUAGAAACCGGUAGCAAGAACACACUCGGGCAUGAGCAUGAUGCUAUAUUUUGAUUGCAAUUUGCUUCAAAACAACAACUCCAUUGAAGAAAAACAAUCUGGGAACACUUAUUUGCAAUAUGCUCCGACAUCCACAGAAAAUAUAUGUUCCAGACAAAUCUGGGAACAACGGGGUGGGAAUCCAUGCAUGCAGAUGUGGUAUUCCUGCAGAAAAAACAAUCGUUGCAUACUCUGACUCAGGACACACUGAAACGGCACAGUACACGUAGUUGAACCAACCCAUGAGCAAGCACUCAGCCCAGUCACCAAAUCCACAUCUUGAUGGAUUGACAACAGCAAAUUUAUCAAAAUCUACGAAGCCAACAUCAUAAGACAGAUCCAUCCAGAGCAAGCGUUAAUAUUGUUGGUCUUUGAAGACGACAUGUGACUGCGUACACUAGUGUUUACUAGCUGAAGGCAUUACAUUGGUUCAACACCCGCUACACACUCACACCAGCUGCAGGAAUUCUAUGUUAUGGGAUAGAGCUAGCGUAUCAGAACCUGCACUAACAAUUGUGGUGCGGUCACACGACACAGCUAAUGCAAGCACUCUGCCAUCAUGCCCGUCGGCGAAGAUGGCAUGACGAGCUCCUGAUACAGAGUCCCAUAUUCUGAUGCGGCCAUCCUCGCACCCUGUAGCCACGAACCUUGUCGCUCCCAACCAGGCUAGACAGGUCACAAUGCCCUAACACACACGACAACCAUAAUGGCAGGCAGUUAGAGAAGCACAAAACGCGGUAAGUAAUCGUUAGCCACGAGGCAUCAACCUCAUGAGGGAGAUGAUGCCGAGCCUCUUGAGUUUCGGCAUCCCAUAUAAUGACCAUGGAAUCUCUGCUUCCUGUUGCGACGACGCCAUCUGCAGAGAUGCCGAUGCAACAAACAGUACUUCCAUGGCCCAUCAAUGCACCAACGACCUGCAAGACUCACAGAUUCAAUGUUCAUGCCUCAAGAUCAACAAACACCAAGAUUUGAACAUUUAUUUGCAUACCUGUCCGAGUUCAAUGCUGACAACACACACGGAACCAUCUUUUGAGCAGCUGUAUAUGGAUUUAGAAUCAUUUGUGAUUGCCAAGCACGUCAAACCUGUGCUGUGAAAGUUCUCACCUGAAAAUUGAAACAGCAAAUCAAUUACAAACUAUAUCAGGACAGCAAGAUCAAUUACUAAAGCUUCAUAAACCUACGAAGCACCGAUACAGCGAAACAGAUACAACAAGGGUACGGCGAUACGGGAUAGGGCAAGGCAAAACAGCAAUAUGGCUGAGUAUAUAUUAAAAAUAAUAAAAUGCACGAGAUGAGAUCAAAACACUGCCCCAUAAACUAUACCAUACCAGCAAAUACCAAAUACAUGAUAGUUAUAACUGCUCACCUUCGAUGAUACACUUUGUCUGGGCACUCUUCGGGCACCACACCCUCAGAGAGGCAUCAUCUGACCCAGAACAUAUAAGUUUACCUUAAAAGAAUAUAUAAAGAGGUUAGCUAACAAUUCAUAUGCAGAGGUUUGAGAUCUGCGCCAAAAGGUGAUAAGGAAAUGCAAAUAACCUAGAAAGUUAAAUGAAAUAAGAUGUACCAUCAGGUGUAAAGUCGCCACAAGUCACAGUCCGCCUGUGGCCAGCAAAUACAUUCAUCAAGUAGUUCUCAGGGUCUCCGCCCAAAUACCACAGCCACAACAUGUGAUCAUCCGACCCUGCCAAUAACGCCGGGCCGCGUGGAUGCCACUUAAGCCACUACGAAAACACAACACAAUUUAAAGAGGAGAAAGACAAAUGCACAGAAGGAACAGGUGCAGUAUCAUGGAUGCCAUUUAAGCCAACUAUGAAACACAAUGAAAACUGGUGAAAAGAUAAAUGCACAAAGAAUAAGUACAGUAUCAUCUUACCUCAAAACUAGAGCCAGAGCGAGGACGGAGAUGUGUGAAAAGAGCUCCUGUAGAGGUGGUCCAAACACUAACUGUGCCGUCCAUACUUGCACAUGCCAGUAGCGUUCCGUUACAACUGAAUGCAACACUGGUAAUUGUAUCUUCGUGCCCUGUAUCAGGUGGGGCUAUUAUUUAGUUACCACUGAGCUUCAACAAACUAAAGUAACUAUAUGCACAGAAUCAUGCUAUCAUAAGUUUCAAAUUGAUUGCCCACACAUGCUCCUACAAAAUAUUGCAAAUAUGAAAUGGACAAGAUGACCAUACCACUAAAUUCAUGCACAUCCUGGGGAUUAAGAGACCAAGCUCUCCACAGAUAACCUCUGUCAUCUGCCCCACCGGAAAGAACAAGCAAGCUCUGCUCAGGAUGGCAUGCCACGCUCAUUACUUCAUCUGCACAAGAUAAGUAUAAAGAACUCAGGCACCAACAACAAAAAUGCAAGCUACAACAAUUGCACUUAUAAAUUAGUUACACGACAGAUCUUACCAGUGUGUCCAGAAAAUUCGUAUGUGCCAGCAUCCACUUCAUCUGAAACACAGAGACAAAAGAACACAGUAUGAAGCAAUAACCAAGAGAUAUCAAAACUAAAAAUACUAAACCGUCAUGUACUGUCGAGUUGAUCAAAACUUCUUAGUUUCACUUGAUUUUUAGGACCAUGUAUCUAUCUAAGUUAUUUGUUAUCUGUAUUACUCAACCACCCAGGAUACACAUGAGCUGUACCUUCCUCGUCCAAGGCAUCAUCAUCAUCCUCGCCCAGUUCAUCUGAAACAACAGAAAACAAUAGAACACUGUGUGAAUCAAUAACCAAGAGAUCUUAAAACUAAAAAUACUAAAACAUUAUGUACUGUCCAGAACAUAGAAAAUAUAUACUCCCUCCGUUCCUAAAUAUAAGUCUUUUUAGAGAUUCCACUACGGAUUACAUACGGAGUAAAAUGAGUGACUCUACACUCUAAAGUAUGUCUAUAUGCAUCAGUAUGUAGUUUAUAGUGGAAUCUCUAAAAAGACUUAGAGGGUGCUUGGAUCCAAGGGACUAAAACUAGUCCGACUAAAAAUAGUCUCUUUAAGAGGCUAAAGUUCCAAGCACCCGUGACUAAAGAGAGGCUAAAACUAGUCUUGAGGCUAAAAUCUUUUAGUCAGGGUACCCCUACUAAAAUGUGAAUUAGUCCUCUCUCUCCUCAUUUAACUCCUCUCCUUUAACACAUGCGAGUUCUGGAUUGGAGGGUUUGGAGGAUAAUAAAUGCUCAUUAACUUGAUUUUAGUCUCUUUAGUAUUUGGAUCCAAGCAUGGGUGGGGCUAGCAAGUUUUAGUCCCACUACUUUUAGUCAUGGGACUAAAACGUAUCCAAGCACCCUCUUAUAUUUAGGAAAGGAGGGACUAUAUAACAAACAAUAAACGACCAUUCUUGGGAGCAGAAAACCACUAAAAGACACACAUAGCAGAAAAAUAGAAAAACAAGGACAACGUGCAUGCUUUAUCUAUCCAUAUGUUGUUAUUACUACCAAAACUAACUUAUAAGCAAUUAGUAUUCUGUCUGUAUAUUGCCAUAUGGUUGAUAAACAUUAGGUUUCUAAGGAAUCUGUUUGGUACCAUAACACUCACUGCCUGCAAUGGAUUUGGUUGGUCUUUUUAGCAAAGUUUUAAAUAGCCAGCUAUAGCUGUUUGAGCAUGUGCUGCUAUGUGGCAUAGCCCACUAAACUUACGAAAUAGCCCGCUAUAGCGGGCUAUAGCCUAGCUAUAGCUGAUUUGGAGGGCCGCCGCUAUUUGCCAUAGCCCGCUAUUUAAAGCAGUGCUUUUUAGUGUCUGUAACACUUUUUGUUUUUGCUCUACGGAAUGCAUGAUAUUAAGCCUAUCGAAACAAUGAAGUUUGCACUGGAGAUCUUCUAGCUGUUUUGGCUAGGCCCCAAGACAGAAUGCUACUUCCCAUGAUAUCUUGGUUGCUGGUCAUUUGAUGUACCAAUACUUUUGUCAUAGGUAGCCUGAGUUUUGAUGCAACCAGGGAGAAGAGGGCGAGGCUUUUUCAUACUCAGUGGUUCAAGCGAGCUAAAUAUUGCGAGGGGAAAUAUUCUCAUUGAUAUUUCUUUGUUGCUCGUGUAUGGCUGGCUGACAUUUAAAUGUAAAUAGAAAGAUUUCCUGGACCUUCCACGUUGACAGCAUUAUCCUCGUUGACGUUGAUGACGGCCUCUUGGGCACCAGGUUCGUCUGAGACAACAGAAAACAAGAGAACGCAGCAUGAAUUGAUAGCCCAUAUAUCUCAUAACUAAAAAUACUAAGAAGUUAUGUACUCUCCAGAUAUAGAGGAUGUAAGAAACAAUAAACCAUCCUCCUUGGGAGCAGGGAACCACUAAAAGACACAAAAGCAAGGAGAACAUCCAUGCCUGUAUUUAUCCAUGUUAUUAUUAGUACCCAAAACUAAGCUAUGUUUGGCAAUUAAUCUUCUGUUUGGUAUUGCCAUAUGGUUUGAUUCUCAUCAGGUUCCCAAGUAAUUGGUUUGGUUCACCCUGCCUGGAAUGGGUUUGGUUGGUCUCUUUAGUCUUGUGUCAAACAAAUUUGUUGCUCUAUGGAACGCAUGAUAUUUAGCCUAUCGAAACAAUUAACUUUGCACGAGUGUUCAUCAAGAUCUUCUAACUGUUUUGGCUAGGCCCCAACAGAAUGCAGCUUCCCACGAUCUCUUGGUUGCUGGUCAUCUGCUGUAGCAUUACUUCUAUCAUAGCUAGCCUGAGUUUUAAUGCAACUAGGAAGAAGAGGGCGAGCCUUUUUCAUACUCAGUGGUUUGAUCAUGCUACAGUGUGAGUGGAAUAUCCUCACUGAUAUUGCUUGUAGUUUAUGGCUAGAUGUCACGUAAAUGUAAAAAGAGACAGAUUUCCUGGAAACUGCUCAUGUCGACCGCUCAGAAACCAGUUGGAAAACUGAGUGUACACGAGAUGUACCUUCCUCGCUGACAGCAUUAUUACCCUCAUUGACGUUGACGGCAGCCUCUUGGGCACCAGGUUCGUCUGAGACAACAGAAAACAAAAGAACGCAGAAUGAAUCGAUAGCCCAUAUAUCUCAAAACCAAAAAUACUAAGAACUUAUGUACUCUCCAGAAUUAUAGAAUGUAGCAAACAAUAAACCAUCCUCCUUGGGAGCAGUGAACCACUAAAAGAUACACAUGGUAGACAAGGGAAAAGGACUGACCUUGAUUUGGCUUGACGGCCUUCUUGCACGGCACACUUGAGGAUGCAGCCUUCUCAUAUUUUGUCUCAGGUUUUAACAGGCAAUGCUUGAGCGGAUUCCUCUUGAUUAUGUCAACGGACCUCCGAAUUUCAGUUGAAGCAUUGGGACAAUACACCUCAUCAGACCGUGUUCCCCAGCUUCUCAUCAAGACCCGAUGUUCAGGUGGUGGCACGACCCCCUUGACCGACCCAGGAGCAAUCUGUAAUCUAGCCCAUCUUCUAACAUCUGGAAAACGAAUGCACUCGGGGAUGAAAAUGGCAAAGAAAGCCAUGCCAGGCUGGAGAUCCGUAUCUAGCCCCUCAACUACUAGAGACUCGGCAUUGCACAACUUGUCGUGUGCUUUUUCAGCAGCUCCAUGAAAGAACGGCUGCUUCAUGCCUCCUCGCAGAUCCAGGUAGCUGCCCGACCAAUUCAAGUGAUAUAUGCCUUCAUGGAAUUUGAACUCCCUGCUCUUCUUGGUGGCCGAGGGUACACACUUCAAGCAGUAGGGUAACUGGCUGGAGGGUGGGAUCGGAACAUUGCAGCCCUCCAUGGGGAACCACAACUCUGCACAAUAAUAAGACCCCACAAGUCACAAGUCAGGAAAAUACUAUUGGUGGAGGGGAGGGGAUGGCGGAUGGACCAUCACCAGCAACUCCAAUAUUUAUACGAGUAUAGAGAAAAUAAUAUGCACCUUCCUGCUAGAUGGAUCAGAAGAUGUUAACAAAUUGUAGCUAAGGUCAAGUUUGGUUUUUGUCUUAUCAACUACCAAAUCUUUGCACUACACACAUGUACAAGGACAUAGCAAAUUGUAUGCUUAAACAAAGCAGCAUUUUCAGGCUAAUGUCAAAACCUAGUGUCCUUUGUCAAAAGAAUAGAUCAAUGAAUGACAAAAUUUCACUAACAAACCCAUAUCGAGUUAGUGAUGCACUACAUGGAUCAGAAUAUGUUAAUAAAUUGCAGUCAAGGUCAUCUGUGUUUUUUGCCUUUCGAACUACCAAUUUUUUCUAUUACACACAUCAUGUACAAGAAACAUAACAAAUUGUAUGCUAAAACGAGCAGCAAUUUCAGGCUCAUGUCAAACUCCACUGUCCUUUGUCAAAAGAAUAAAUCAAUAACUAACAGAUCGAAUUCAUGUUAGUGAUGCACUAACGGAUCAGAACAUGUUAACAAACUGCAAUCAAGGUCAACUUUAGUAUUUCCCUUAGCAACUACCAAAAAUUUCCACUACACAUGUGCAAGAAACAUAGCAAAUUGUAUGCUAAAACGGGUAGCAUUUUCAGGCUCAUGUCGAAAUCUACUGCCCUUUGUCAAAAGAAGAAAUCAAUGAAUGGCAGAAAUUCACUAAUAGAUCCAUUUCGAGUUAGUGAUGCACUGAAAGCUGUAGGAUGCAAUUCUAUAAUAUGGUGGAACGUCCACGAUUAAAUAGAAUCACAUGCCAAGCACAUCCAAUAAAUUUCCCUAACAGAUCCAUUUCGAGUUAGUGAUGCACUGAAAGCUGUAGGAUGCAAUUGUUCUAUAAUCUGAUGGAAUGUCCACAAUUAAAGAGAAUCCACAGCCAGGCACAUACAAUAAAUCAGUAGAUACCUAAUUAUUUACUGCUUAUAACUUGUUCUUAAAGUAAUCGCUGGGCUGUUAUGACUGCAAUCGAUAGAAAGUAACAUAAGUCUCUCUUGCAAGGAGGUUUGCACACAGCACACGGUAGAGGAGAGGAUAUGGCAUGACCUGAUACAUGGAGUGCCUUCAGGUAGAGGUCAGUCUUGCCAAAGAGCAGGGUGACCGUUCUCUUCCCAGGGUGCACAAGCUCCACCAGGAAUGCGCCAUCUUUUGGAGUGUAUGGCUUCCCGUGAACCCUUUCCGGCUUCUUGUCCUUCUUACGGAGCUUCCGCAACUCAUCCCGGACGUCCUCCUCCAGCAUUGCCUUUAUGUCGUUGAUCAGGCGAUCGUGGCUCGCCACUAUCUCAUCGGGCUGAAGAUCCAAAGUGAAGAGCCUUAAGGGCUUGUGAGACUCCAUGAUGUGUGCCCUUGCUGCGCCUCCGCCCUUGGCCGUGUGUCUCCUUUUGCCAUUAGAGUGGCAUUUCCGUGCUGUCUUCCUUUUGGCUUUAGAGCGGCGGGGCAUCUGCACACAAAAUGAAGCGUCUAUAAUACAAGCAGCAUUAAACAUCAUAAGAUAUAAUGUAACUUGACGCAGAUAUGCAUCCUACAGCUCAUCUGUCCAACAUUGGACAUGGAUAUGGGAUAAGAAAAUUAUAGCAUGAGCAUCUAAUAGGAAAUGAAGUGUGUCUAUAGUACAAGUAGCAUCUAACAGUAUAGCGUGUUUCAGAUAUUCAUCUUACAGCACAAGCUCAUCUGUCCAUGAAACAACCUGAUAAAUUUUCUUGGAUGCAUAAGUCUACCUGGACUUUAAAAAAAAUCCACGUUUCGUUUUCUGCCACAAUCAAACAUUAGCAGGACUAAAUCGAGGAGGAAUUUAUCUUCUUUUUAAGGCGCAACAGGACAUGAACACAUAUUUUCAUUACAAUGGGGUACAGAGCGCAAACAGGGCAGGGAGGUGGCAUACAUUACCAUCAUUCGCAAGAGAACAAACAGUUAGGAGUGAGGAAUUGAUGUUUAUUUAUACAAAACUGAUCGACAUGAAACUAGUCCCAGUUAUGCAUCUUACUGCUCUGUCCAGCAUUGAAAAUGAAACAACGGAAUACCUUGUGAUGCUGCUGUUGGCUGGUUGUUGUGUUUGCUUGGGUCUUCUUCCUUUCUUCGCAGCAGCCUGAUGAAUUCCCGAGAAAAAAAACCAUCCUAUCAGAAUAUAACAAGUAAACUCCAUAGAGGGAUGGAUGAGUAUAUGCCUGAUCUUGACGGGUUGCUCCCGCCGGCUUCAGUUCUCGUCCACCCUGCUCAGACGCGCCGGCCUCGUCCCGCUCGCCUCUCGCCGCUAGCCCCUCGCUCCUGCCCGCCGGCCACCCUGCUCACACCAAAUCGCUUCCUAUAAUAACAGGAGGAGGACGACGAAAUCGUAGAGAAUGCGGACGAUUACUGAGAGGCCGCUGUUGUUUAUACCUGUUAGAUCACGCGCCGGCCUCGUCCCGCUCGUGCCUCCCCUCCUCCUCCGCCCGGACCGCUCUCGCCUGCGAAUGGAACAACAAGAAGUUACCAACGAUGAAGGCCCCAUGAAGAAAACCAUCAGAUCAGGCUUCUACCUCGCCGCGCGUGCAGACCCGCUCCUGCUGCCGCCGAUGAGAGAAGGGAAGGAGGAAGACCUAGGGUUUCCUGGAUUGAUGACGGGGGAGGAGAGCUAGGGGAGAGAGGGGGGAUUGGUGACGGGCGAAAUUGAACUGAUCGUCUCGGGGUUGUGUGAAUGCGAGCGACUGGAACAGAGUCCGCGAACCGGCCCCAGGAUGGAUGGUCAUGGACUCACCAGGCGUGGCUGGUGCGUCUCGCCAAGCGCUGCGCCACUUCGCCCGGUGCACUUUUUUUCCCUGACUCGAUUUUUUUUAACAACUUCACGAAGCUUUAUUACGUCACAAUGUUUACCGGGACGGAAGUAAGGGUGUGUUUGGUUUCAGGAUGAGGUGGAAUCGGACGAGUUGGUUCCAUCCCUAGCAGCCGUUCUCGUGUUUAGUUGGGUUAGGAAUCGAAAUUGGGUCAUCCGCAUGCAGGAAAUAUUCCCUCCAGAUGCUUCACCAAGUGAUUCCGCCGAUUUAGAGGAACCAACUCGUUAUUCGUCCAUUAAAGCAAGGAAAAAAAGAAAUAACCAAGCAAUUCUCACGGCGCUCACCCCCGCACCCGAACAAAAGUUUUCGUGGUUAUUUUUUGGUGGUUAUUUUUUUCAUUUUCGUGAUUAUUUUUUCAUUUUCGUGAUUAUUUUUCAUAAAUAUUUGGUAUGUACUCAUGAUCAUAUAUUUUUAUUUGCAUGUGUUGAAAAUAGAAUGAAAAUGUUGCUGCAAAUUUAAAUUAUAGGCUUAUCAAAUGCAAAGAACUCUAUUUGUUCAGAGAUAUAAUCUCACCAUUUACAGAUUCUUCUCAUUUCAUCUCUCCAACUAAACACCGGGACGGAACCAACCCAUGACAUUUUUUAUCAUCAACUGAACACAAGGAUGGAACCAACCCAUGACUUUGGAAUGGGACCAUGACAUUCCAUGACUUUUGGUUCUCAAACCAAACACACCCUAAGGUUUUCAGGGUGUCCUAACCAAACAUAACGGCCAUCUCCGAGAGAUAAAGCAUGCUUCCCUACAUUGUGAGCCUCAAAGUUUGAGCUCUUAAAUUCAUGACUAAAACUAAAAAUUCGAAAGAAGUAGAAUGAUCAACAAUCUCAUGGAUCACAGCUCCGUAAGCGGUAGAAUUGUUCUUCGAUAACUCUUGAACUACUACCUUGCAAUCUGACGCCACUUGAAUGCGUUGGAGGUAAAGGUCUACCACUAGGGCAAGCGCUUCUCUGAUAGGUGGAUCGAUAAUAUCUCGAAAGGCAAGAGUAGAGGGCCCCAUGAACAUACCGUUUUGAUCUCGUCAGAUAACUCCUACAGCCCUAAAACCAUGUCGAGAGACUGCGGCGUCCACAUUUAGUUUCGCGUUGUUAUUGAGAGGGGCAAUCCAAGCCGAAGGUCGCACCGUGAUCGGCACAGCCGUCGCUGGAACCUUGGUAUUCGAGAAAUGAAGCUCACACAGAUACCUCGAUAUGAAUGAAUUCACCGAGUAUGGAGGUUGGAACAAGUUCUCAUGGAUUGCCUUUCGCCUGGAACCCCAAAUAGCCCAGAGAGUCACUACCAGUCGGUCGAAUAGAUCUCGGGGAAGUACAUCAUGGACCGCAAACAGCCAUUCCUUCGGGUUCUCCUCCCCUCUCUCGACCAUAUGUUGCACAAGAUCCUCAAGAGCCAGAGCCCAUACACUCGCCGCCAUAGGACAUAUGAUGAGUGCAUGUUUCCGAGUGUCCACCGCCCCACAAAUGGGCCAAGAAUCCUCCGUCGCCAUGUGUCGAUGCUUCAGAACAGAACAUGUUGGCAUAGAGAGCCCGGCGAGACGCCACAAGGAAACUUUGAGUUUAGAAGGUACCUGUAGGUGCCAGAUCAUAGUCCAUUUGGUCGUUUCAAUGCGAUCAUAUGAAGUGCCUCCUUCCUCAUGCAACCAAGCCUCCCGGCUAUGUUUAGUCUUUAUAAUCAUAUGGUAAGCCGAACGAACACUGAAACGACCAUGGGGUUCAUGCCAAGCCCAGAAGUCUGCCACCCUCCUUUUGCAAAUCGGAAUUUGAAGAAUAGCCUCUGCAUCGAAAGGGGUAAAGACAGUUCGCACUAUAUCCUCCUUCCAGCUUGCGUUGGGGACGUCAAUAAGUUGUGCAACCGACCGAGGGGGAUUCGGAACAAGCAUUGCGAUGGGUCGCUUGAGGUUGUCCUUAGGGAUCCAAUUGUGAUCCCAAAUGUGAGUAGUCUGACCAUCACCAAUUCGCCUAAUGACCCCUUGAGACAAGAUAUCCCGGCCGUCUAGGAUCGCUCGCCAUAUCUGGGACAAGUGAGCUCCUAAUUCAGCCUCAAGCAAAGAGCAUCCAGGGAAAUAGACAACCUUCAGAAUCCGUGCAGUCAAGGAUGCAUAGUCCAUCAGUGUGCGCCAGGCCUGCCGUGCUAAUAGUGCAAGGUUGAAAAUCUUCAAGUCACGAAACCCCAUUCCACCUAAGUGUUUAGGCAAGGUCAUGGUAUCCUAGGCUACCCAAGUGGGCUUCCUUUUCCCUUGCUUUGAACCCCACCAGAACUGAUGGAUCAGAGAUGUGAUACUCUCACAUAAGCCCCUCGGCAGUCAGAAACAUGCCAUUGAGAAAACUGGAAUUGCUUGGGCGAUGGACUUUAUCAACACUUCCCUGCCCGUUGCCGAGAGCAACUUAGCCACCCAACCCUUGAUCUUUUCCCACACGCGAUCACGCAAGUAUUUGAAAGUUCCAUUCUUUGAGUGGCCAACAUCGGUGAGCAUGCCAAGGUAGCGUUCGUUUAGAGACUCAUUAUGUACUUGCAGGUUAUUCUUGACUGUUUCUCUCAUUAACGGCGAGCAUCCAUUGCUGAAGAAGAUCGAUGACUUCUCAUUGUUAAUCCUCUGUCCCAAAGCAUUACAGUAUGUAUAUAGUAGGUUUGCCACCAAGGAUGAACCCUCCCCACUAGCAUUGAAGAGCAUCAGGCUAUCAUCUGCAAACAAGAGAUGGUUAAUGGUUGGAGCCGUAGGAGCCACCUCAAUAUCUGUUAGAGACGACUGGGAACUUGAUUUGAGGAGGCACAAAAGGCCCUCUGUUGCGAUCAAGAAUAAAUAAGGGGAGAUUGGGUCUCCCUGCCAGAUACCUCGAGUUGGUUUGGAAGUUUAUAAUUUCUCUCCAUUGAAACAAAUUGAGAAUGAGACUGAAGAAACCAUGCCCAUGACUAUAUCAAUCCAUCGUUGAUCAAACCCUAGCCUGGUCAUCAUCCCUCUUAGAUAAGCCCAGUCUAACCUAUCAUAAGCCUUCAUCAUGUCGAGCUUUAGCGCACAAAAGCUGUUGGAUUUUGAUCUCAAACGCUUCAUAAAAUGCAGGCAUUCAUAUGCACAAAUUAUAUUGUCUGUGAUGAGCCUCCCGGGAACAAAAGCGAACUGCUCCUUAGAGAUGAUUCCUGGAAGCACAACUUUCAGCAUGUUCGACAUUUGAGGCAAUUUUGUACAAGACAUUACAUAAACUGAUCGGCCGAAACUGGGCAAGAGUCGUGGGAUUUGUUACCUUUCGGAUUAAAACCAGGAUUGUAUCAUUGAUGGAUUCUGGAGUUUCCACCCCUGUCACAAUCCCGAGGAUUAUAUUUGUUACUUCAUCCCAACAUACCUCCCAAUGGCGUUGAUAGAAGUGGGCUGGGAAGCCAUCAGGCCCCGGGGCUUUUGUGGGGAACAUCUGAAACAGGGCCUCUUUAACCUCAUCUUUUGAAUAUGGCGCGCAUAGAUUCGCAUUCAUCUUUGGAGUAACCUUAUGAUGGACAUGAUCAAAAACUGCAUCCAUGUUCUGGACUCCUUCAGAGAGGUACAGUGACUGAUAGAAUUCAUUGGCAAGGCUCUUCAGAUCCUCCGGAUCAGAGAUUUCCACCCCCUAAGGAAUCCUGUAGCGCCUUGAUCAUGUUCUUCUUGCGCCGGAGGCUUGCUCUCAUAUGAAAAUACUUCAUGUUUCGGUCCCCACUCGAAAGCCAUUCAGCCCUAGCUCGCUGCCUCCACAUAAUCUCCUCCCUUUGAUACAUCUCAAAAAGCCGCUCGUUAAUUUUUAGCUCGGCAUGGGAAGGUCCUACUUUGGAUGGAUCAUUUUUUUAGUUCCUCUAAACUGAGUUUGAGCAACUUUAUUUCUUUCCGAACACUCCCAAAAGUGUCGUGAUUCUAGCGACCCAGGUCUUUCGCUAGCCCCUUCAGCUUGUGGCGAAUUUCUUCAACCGUAGUGCAGGGAGUGCUAGCACCCCACCCCAUAGAGAUCACUUUACGAACGAUGUCGUGAGAUUCCCACAUAACCUCAUACUUGAAUGGUCGUUGGACAUGCUCCGCUGUCCCGCCAUCCAUCUCAAGCAGUAAUGGAGCGUGAUCAGAGCUCACCCCCGUCAAAUGCGCCACCGAUGCCAGUGGGUACUUAGCCAGCCAAGCCGUAUCACCGAGGACCCUGUCAAGCCUGCACUUAGUGUAUGAUCCGCCCGUCACCAUCUUCUCAAAAGUCCAGAAGUUGCCUUUGUAUCCCAAGUCAAUUAGUUCACAAACAUCAAGUACCUCUCAAAACGCUUGAAUUUGGACGUUGCUACGCUGCCAAAUCCCUUGGUGUUCUUCAGGCCGAAGCACCUCAUUAAAUUCACCAAUGCAAAGCCAUGGGAGAUCACUCAAAGUACUGCAGUUUUUCAGUGUAGACCAGGUUUUAUGCCUUAAGUGGGUGUGGGUCUCCCCAUAGACGCAGGUCAUUCGCCACUUCUCUAAAUUUUGUUCCUCGAUGGAUGCAUCUAAAUGAUAAUCCGAGUAACCCAAAAUAUCGACCUUUAUUGAAUUAUUCCAAAACAAAACCGAUACCACCACUUCUACCUUGACUGCUAACAGCAUAAGAAUUAUCAAAACCUAUCGUUCCUGCAAGAGACUCCACCUUUUUACUAUCAAGUUAUGUUUCAACAAUGCAAAAAAGGGUAGGGGCAUAAUGUCGGUGUUUUGGGAACCAGGGUACCCAGACCUGCCUGCAUGCAGGCCAGGGCUGGCCCACUUCGUCUACCAAGCGUGGCGCCUCAAGACAAGGCCCUCGCAAGGGCCCGAGCCUCGCGAGGAGGAGCAACACCAAGACCAACAGUGGGGUGAUACGUCCCAAAUGUAUCUAUAAUUUCUGCUUGUUCCAUGAUCUUUUGGGUGACAUUGUUAUAUGUUUUGCUAUACUUCUAUAUCAUUUUACACAUAUUUGGACUAACCUACUAACUCAGUACAUUCAGUAUCAGUUUUUGUGUGUUGAUGUCUAUUUUGCAGGGGCUUUUACCCAAUUUUUCGAAGCCCGAAAAAUUUCAGAAAAAAUAUAUAAAUAAUCAGUGAAACGGAAGCUUCCGGAUCACCGAAGAUGGGCCAGAGGGGGGUCAAAGGCCUCCCAGGCGACCUGCUCGCGCGGCCAGGCCCUAGACCACGCCAUGAGGCCGUCUGGGUGGGUCUCACCUCCUCUGGUGCCCUCCUUUGACCUAUAUUUAGAGUCCCGAGAGGAAACCCUUAUAGACUUUCUGAAAUCGCGAAUUCUUCAUCGUUCCGUCAUCGCAGCGCUUCCGAUAUCGGGAGCGUCAUGAUACCUCUUCCCGGCACCCUGCCGGAGGAAGGAUUCACCUCCGGGAGCUUCUCCACCGUCAUGGACGCUUUUCAGACGUGACGUGAGUAGUCCUUCUUGGAUCAUGAGUCCAUGACCAGUAGAUAUGUGAUGUCUUCUCUCUAAUCUUGUGCUUCAUUGGUUAGUCCUUGUGAGCUGUCCUACAUGAUCAAGACAUCUAUGUAAUUCUCUUGCUAUUGUUAUGCUCCGUUUGUUAGGAUCCGAUGAUUAUGAGAUUAUGUUCAGAUUGUUAUGAUUUAUAUAUUUGAUUAUCUUUUUAUAUUAUGUUCCUUAGUGAUUCAUGCAUGUUCUCCGUUGCUAUUUAUUGCUUUGGCCGAGUAGUAGAUUGUAACUCCAAGAGGGAGCGUUAUGCAUGAUUGUGGGUUCAUGCCCCUCGAUGUCUAGCUUGAGCUUGAGUGACAGAAACAUGAGACUAAGGGAUGUGCUUGUUGCCAUUAGGGAGAAAACAACGGUGCUUGUGACCAUGGUUGCAAGGAUUGUUUAUCUUACGCAUAGUUCGCUAAAGCAAUUGUUCGUUGCUUUGAGUUUACACUUUAGGUGGGGCUCGCAACUUAAUACUGGAGAGAUAUUCUGGAUAGAUAUCUCAAGGUAGAUGAUUAGUAAGUAGAUAAUGAUGAAUAAACGGUCUACUUGUCUUGGCGUAUUGUCCAUUACUAUUGAACUUCUAACUAUCAAGUAGCAUAAUUAGCAUUGCGGUGUGAUCAUAAUUCUAUCAAUUGCCCAACUGUGAUUUGUUUAUCCUAGCAUAGUUGUUUAUCGUCUUUUGGGAGACAGACAUCACUAGUGAACAUCAUGUAACUCCGGUCCAUAUCACCAUCAUUGUUUACACCUCCAUCAUUUAUCGCUUUCAUUUACUUUUUCAUUGCAAUCACUAUUACUUUUCCCCUUGGGUUUUGAUCCUCUGCAAACUACAAGGCCGGAGAGAUUGACAACCUCUUUGUACUCGUUGGGAGUAAAGUUAUUUGUUGUGUGUGCAGGUCCACGUCUUCUGCUAGCGUCCGGGUGGAAGACACCUACUUGUUGAGCCUAGGAGUACUCUUGGUUCGAUAAACCUUACAGUCUACGUGUAAGGAAAAUCUGCUGCUAACUACAUCUGCACCUUCCACUUGGG